GGAUUUGAGUAGUAAUAAUAUCGGAAAGAUUCCAAAAGAAAUCUUCCAAAACUUGACCAGUUUAAUGUACUUGGAUCUGAGUAGUAAUAAUAUCGGAAAGAUUCCAAAAGAAAUCUUCCAAAACUUGACCAGUUUAAUAUAUUUAGAUCUGAAUAAUAAUAAAAUCAAGACGCUUCAAGAAGUAACUUUUGAAAAGCUGAGCAAAUUACAGACAUUAGAUCUGAGAUACAAUAAAAUCCAGACGCUUCAAGAAGGAACCUUUGCAAGCCUUAAGGAUUUAGAAUCAUUGUA
Molecule: long non-coding RNA, 291 nt
Organism: Octopus bimaculoides (California two-spot octopus)
Lineage: Eukaryota; Metazoa; Mollusca; Cephalopoda; Octopoda; Octopodidae
Source: RefSeq, a predicted model, not a curated record